UUAGUUCAGAGUUUUGCAAUGUACUUAGCAAAUCUGCAAAUCCCACAGAACCGUGGUAGUAACUGCUCCUUUGGAGGUUUGUAGCUUAGACUCUAGAACAGGAGUCGCUGAACAAUACAGGGCGCCGGGUGCCUGGGAUCAUCUGAGAGCAUCUGCUGCGUUGUUCUUUUUUUUAUUUAUUUAUUUAUUUUUGGUUUUUCGAGACAGGGUUUCUCUGUGGCUUUGGAGCCUGUCCUGGAACUAGCUCUGUAGACCAGGCUGGUCUCGAACUCACAGAGAUCCGCCUGCCUUUGCCUCCCGAGUGCUGGGAUUAAAAGCCUGCGCCACCAUCGCCUGGCAUGCUGCGUUGUUCUUAACAGAAUAGCUUUCACAUCAAUUCUAUGAACCACCCGAAACAUUGGUGCUCUGGUUUCGUUUCUGUGAAUUUUUGGAACUUAAUCGCUUAGUGGUGGUGCUGGGAUGUGGCUCGUGCCCACUGUGCCAGGCUGUGUACUCCCAGUUUUAAACGGAGAACGGUGAGGUGGUGCUGUGAUUGCUGACGAUGGGUGCCUCUCAGGGGUCAAGAAGAGGUUCUGUGCCUUCUCGGGUGGUUUGGAGUUAGCUCUUCACUCCACAAGGUCUCACUGAACAUAGCGGACAAUGAGGACUACUGAGACAUCAAGAACAAUGGCAAGGGGUUUUUGAUCCUAUUGCAUGUAUUGGCUUUGUGGGAGCCUAGGCUAUUUGGAUGCUCACCUUACGAGACCAGGACGGAGGAGGGUUUUCCUUGGACUUCCCACAGGGCAGGGAACCCUGAUUGCUCUUUGGGCUGACGAGG
Molecule: long non-coding RNA, 817 nt
Organism: Alexandromys fortis (reed vole)
Lineage: Eukaryota; Metazoa; Chordata; Mammalia; Rodentia; Cricetidae
Exons: 3
Source: RefSeq, a predicted model, not a curated record